UGAAAUUUUAAUUAUGAAAAUGUAUUACAGGAAAGAAUGAAAGAAAAAUGCCUCUAUGCCUACCCAGAUUUAGCCAAACUGCAAAGUUGAGAGCACUGUUCUCCAAACUGCCAAGCCUGCUCAAGACUUUUUACCCCAGUUGCAAGGAGUUAGGGGCCCACUACAAAGAAGAGUCCACACAAGACCAUUCUCACUUCUGACACCAAUUGCAGGUACCUGGCUAAAUUAUAAUUCCCAGCCUCCUUGAAGUUAGACAAAUGCUGGCCAGUAGAAUAUGGCUAAUUGUCAACAUCCUGGGCAACCUUGAAAGAUAAAUUUUGAAGAUGGUAAAGUUCCUAUCAGCCAGGAUUCCUGCGUGAUUGCAUGGAGAAGAUCCCCCAACUCUAUACAACCACCUAUUGAACUUUACAUGAGCAAGAAAUCAGAAUCAUUUGAAAACUGAAAGACCAACUCAGAAGUCCCAAGGAGGCCCAUCCACUUACUGGUGACAACUG
This is a long non-coding RNA of Miniopterus natalensis, 494 nucleotides long. RefSeq lists it as uncharacterized. Lineage: Eukaryota; Metazoa; Chordata; Mammalia; Chiroptera; Miniopteridae. The record is from RefSeq and is a predicted model, not a curated record.